AGAGUUUGAUCAUGGCUCAGGAUGAACGCUAGCGGCAGGCCUAACACAUGCAAGUCGAGGGGCAGCAGACCACUUCGGUGGUGCUGGCGACCGGCGCACGGGUGAGUAUCGCGUUUGUAACCUACCCUUAACCGGGGGAUAGACCGGAGAAAUUCGGAUUAAUACCCCAUAAUAUUUAAGCACGGCAUCGUGCUUUCAUUAAAGUUCCGGCGGUUAAGGAUGGGCAUGCGUGGCAUUAGUUUGUUGGUGAGGUAAUGGCUCACCAAGACUACGAUGUCUAGGGGGUCUGAGAGGAUGAUCCCCCACACUGGUACUGAGACACGGACCAGACUCCUACGGGAGGCAGCAGUGAGGAAUAUUGGUCAAUGGACGCAAGUCUGAACCAGCCAUGCCGCGUGCAGGAUGACGGCCCUAUGGGUUGUAAACUGCUUUUAUACAGGAAGAAAUCCUUUUACGUGUAAAAGGUUGACGGUACUGUAUGAAUAAGCAUCGGCUAACUCCGUGCCAGCAGCCGCGGUAAUACGGAGGAUGCAAGCGUUAUCCGGAUUCAUUGGGUUUAAAGGGUGCGUAGGCGGGGCAAUAAGUCAGCGGUGAAAUCCUGCGGCUCAACCGUAGAACUGCCAUUGAUACUGUUGCCCUUGAGUAUAGUUGAAGUGGGCGGAAUAUGUAAUGUAGCGGUGAAAUGCAUAGAUAUUACAUAGAACACCAAUUGCGAAGGCAGCUCACUAAGCUACCACUGACGCUGAGGCACGAAAGCGUGGGGAGCGAACAGGAUUAGAUACCCUAGUAGUCC
Molecule: ribosomal RNA, 793 nt
Filed under: uncultured bacterium
Lineage: Bacteria
Description: bacterial SSU rRNA
Rfam family: Bacterial small subunit ribosomal RNA
Source: RNAcentral